CCUACGGGUGGCUGCAGUGAGGAAUAUUGGUCAAUGGACGAGAGUCUGAACCAGCCAAGUAGCGUGAAGGAUGACUGCCCUAUGGGUUGUAAACUUCUUUUAUAGGGGAAUAAAACGAUCCACGUGUGGGAUUUUGUAUGUACCAUAUGAAUAAGGAUCGGCUAACUCCGUGCCAGCAGCCGCGGUAAUACGGAGGAUCCGAGCGUUAUACGGAUUUAUUGGGUUUAAAGGGAGCGUAGGUGGAUUGUUAAGUCAGUUGUGAAAUUUUGCGGCUCAACCGUAAAAUUGCAGUUGAAACUGGCAGUCUUGCUUACUGUAGAGGUAGGCGCACUUCGUCGUGUAGCUGU
This 347-nucleotide ribosomal RNA is filed under the name uncultured bacterium. Its description in RNAcentral is "partial 16S ribosomal RNA". It matches the Rfam family "Bacterial small subunit ribosomal RNA", at positions 338 to 682 of the family's 1533-position model. The record is from RNAcentral.